Molecule: ribosomal RNA, 253 nt
Filed under: uncultured bacterium
Lineage: Bacteria
Description: partial 16S ribosomal RNA
Rfam family: Bacterial small subunit ribosomal RNA
Source: RNAcentral
UACGAAGGGGGCUAGCGUUGUUCGGAAUUACUGGGCGUAAAGCGCAUGUAGGCGGCGAUUCAAGUCGGGGGUGAAAUCCCAGGGCUCAACCCUGGAACUGCCUUCGAUACUGUUUUGCUAGAGUGUGGAAGAGGUAAGUGGAACUGCAAGUGUAGAGGUGAAAUUCGUAGAUAUUUGCAAGAACACCAGUGGCGAAGGCGGCUUACUGGUCCAUUACUGACGCUGAGAUGCGAAAGCGUGGGGAGCAAACAGG